CCUCUUCAAUGUCUGACCAUUCCCUGCCUCUGUUUAUUUUGUCCACUGGAACCAGUUAUCUAUGGGAGUCCUGAAUGUAUUCAGAUGACCUAAAAAAGUGAUACUGCAAAACAAGAAAAUGGAAGUGUGCAAUGCUCAAUGAGGAGAGCAGGUAUCCCUUCUUCUCCUGUAAAAUGAAGCACACCUGGUAGAAAUGUUGUGCAUUCUGGUCCAGUGAUGAUCUGCAACCCCCUCAGUCUUUUGGAAUACCCAGUUCACUGUUGAGGUGCUCCUUGUGUCACCAUCUGCAUGGCCACGGCUGGGAAGGAGCUGAUCUUCUGAGCCGUGGGCAGCUCUACCUGCCUACAGAGCUACAAGCGAAUGAAGUGCUGAUAAACUGAAGCUGCAGCUGUGGACUCCAGAGAGACAGAGAUGCCUUGGGACAAUUUAGGUCACUAGCAAAGCACAGCCAAAGAAAUUACACAUGGUAGACCAGUUUUGAAGCAACUCCUGUUUUGACUGGGUUCUGAAAACCUCCUGGCCAUGGCUCCACUUCAAAUUCUUCACUUCCAUUCCCUGAAGGAUGAGAAAUCUGUGCCAAAGCCCAUGCUUUGGUGUCCUGUCUACUACAGCUCCCAGGAUAAAACCAGCAGGAGUUUUACUAAAUACGAUUUCAAGGAGGGCUGCUGCUGGGAACCAAUAACCAAGGCACAUCUCACAGCAGCAUCUCACAGUUCAAAGUGUGUAGAAGACCUUGUAAAACAGGCCCACUGUGGAAAGAAGCAUUUAUUUGCUGCAUCUCUUGCCAAUUUUGUUUUUCCAUGUGCAGAGCUGGCAGAGACAGGGAGACAGGUAUCACUCAGAGAUACCUCAUUGCCUUAUGAAGCUAAUUGCUCUGCACUAUGAGCAUGGACUCAUCUGGACAAUCUGAGUAAUGGAUACUACAUUGGAGGCUGCCCUACAAGGACUUCCUCUGGAACUCUGGUAAGGAAUAGUUUUGCCUAACGUUUUCAAAUGGAGAGAAAUAACAACAUGGCUCUGCCUGAAAGUGAAGGGAAGGUUAGAAAUUUCACAAG
Molecule: long non-coding RNA, 1055 nt
Organism: Coturnix japonica (Japanese quail)
Lineage: Eukaryota; Metazoa; Chordata; Aves; Galliformes; Phasianidae
Source: Ensembl